This 377-nucleotide unclassified non-coding RNA is filed under the name uncultured bacterium. RNAcentral's name for it is "contains 16S-23S intergenic spacer region". The record is from RNAcentral.
UCCGGCUUAUCACCGGCAGUCCCCUUAGAGUGCCCAACUGAAUGAUGGCAACUAGGGACAAGGGUUGCGCUCGUUGCGGGACUUAACCCAACAUCUCACGACACGAGCUGACGACAGCCAUGCAGCAUCUGUCUCCAGGUUCCCGAAGGCACCCCCACAUCUCUGCGGGGUUCCUGGGAUGUCAAGACCAGGUAAGGUUCUUCGCGUUGCAUCGAAUUGAACCACAUGCUCCGCUGCUUGUGCGGGUCCCCGUCAAUUCCUUUGAGUUUUAGCCUUGCGGCCGUACUCCCCAGGCGGGGCACUUAAUGCGUUAGCGGCGGCACGGGGGGAGUCGACACCCCCCACACCUAGUGCCCAUCGUUUACGGCGUGGACUAC